RNAcentral lists this ribosomal RNA (449 nucleotides) under uncultured bacterium. RNAcentral describes it as "bacterial SSU rRNA". It matches the Rfam family "Bacterial small subunit ribosomal RNA", at positions 120 to 597 of the family's 1533-position model. The record is from RNAcentral.
GAUAAUCUGCCCUUCAGCGGGGAAUAACCCAUCGAAAGGUGGGCUAAUACCCUACUGUUUCUGCCUCGGCAGGAUAGUCAAAGACGGCCUCUGUUUAAGCACUGAAGGAUGAGUCCGCGUACCAUUAGCUAGUUGGUAGGGAUUACCAAGGCUGCGAUGGUUAGCUGGUCUGAGAGGAUGAUCAGACGAACUGAGACACGGUCCAGACUCCUACGGGAGGCAGCAGUGAAAGCGCAAUGGGGGCAACCCUGACGCAGCAACGCCGCGUGAUGAGGACUUCGGAUCGUAAAGCUCUGUCGGGUGGGAAGAAACGUGGAGGUAGCUUUCAUACUUGACGGUACCACCAAAGGAAGCACCCUAACUCGCCAGCAGCCGCGGUAAUACGGGGGGUGCAAGCGUUGCGGAAUCAGCGUAAAGGGCGUGUAGGCGGCUUGGUAAGUCAGAUGUGA